GAUGAACGCUGGCGGCGUGCUUAACACAUGCAAGUCGAACGAGAAAUGGAGACGGAAACCUUCGGGCGGAAGGCUUCAUUUCGAGUGGCGGACGGGUGAGUAACGCGUGGGUAACCUGCCUCAUGCAGGGGGAUAACAGUUGGAAACGACUGCUAAUACCGCAUAAGACCACAGCACCGCAUGGUGCGGGGGUAAAAACUCCGGUGGUAUGAGAUGGACCCGCGUUCGAUUAGCCAGUUGGCGUGGUAACGGCCCACCAAAGCGACGAUCGAUAGCCGAUCUGAGAGGAUGACCGGCCACAUUGGGACUGAGACACGGCCCAAACUCCUACGGGAGGCAGCAGUGGGGAAUAUUGCACAAUGGGGGAAACCCUGAUGCAGCGACGCCGCGUGAGUGAAGAAGUACUUCGGUAUGUAAAGCUCUAUCAGCAGGGAAGAAAAUGACGGUACCUGAGUAAGAAGCCCCGGCUAACUACGUG
RNAcentral lists this ribosomal RNA (478 nucleotides) under uncultured bacterium. RNAcentral's name for it is "partial 16S ribosomal RNA". It matches the Rfam family "Bacterial small subunit ribosomal RNA", at positions 28 to 507 of the family's 1533-position model. The record is from RNAcentral.